RNAcentral lists this ribosomal RNA (468 nucleotides) under uncultured bacterium. RNAcentral describes it as "partial 16S ribosomal RNA". It matches the Rfam family "Bacterial small subunit ribosomal RNA", at positions 28 to 507 of the family's 1533-position model. The record is from RNAcentral.
GACGAACGCUGGCGGCGUGCUUAACACAUGCGAGUCGAACGGAAAGGCCCUGCUUUUGUGGGGUGCUCGAGUGGCGAACGGGUGAGUAACACGUGAGUAACCUGCCCUUGACUUUGGGAUAACUUCAGGAAACUGGGGCUAAUACCGGAUAGGAGCUCCUGCUGCAUGGUGGGGGUUGGAAAGUUUCGGCGGUUGGGGAUGGACUAGCGGCUUAUCAGGUUGUUGGUGGGGUAGUGGCUUACCAAGGCUUUGACGGGUAGCAGGCCUGAGAGGGUGACCGGCCAAAUUGGGACUGAGAUACGGCCCAGAGUCCUACGGGAGGCAGCAGUGGGGAAUAUUGCACAAUGGGCGGGAGCCUGAUGCAGCAACGCCGCGUGCGGGAUGACGGCCUUCGGGUUGUAAACCGCUUUCGCCUGUGACGAAGCGUGAGUGACGGUAAUGGGUAAAGAAGCACCGGCUAACUACGUG